This 440-nucleotide ribosomal RNA is filed under the name uncultured bacterium. RNAcentral's name for it is "partial 16S ribosomal RNA". It matches the Rfam family "Bacterial small subunit ribosomal RNA", at positions 338 to 795 of the family's 1533-position model. The record is from RNAcentral.
CCUACGGGAGGCAGCAGUGGGGAAUAUUGCACAAUGGGGGAAACCCUGAUGCAGCGACGCCGCGUGAGUGAAGAAGUAAUUCGUUAUGUAAAGCUCUAUCAGCAGGGAAGAAAAUGACGGUACCUGAGUAAGAAGCCCCGGCUAACUACGUGCCAGCAGCCGCGGUAAUACGUAGGGGGCAAGCGUUAUCCGGAUUUACUGGGUGUAAAGGGAGCGUAGACGGCAGUGCAAGUCUGGAGUGAAAGGCGGGGGCUCAACCCCCGGAAUGCUCUGGAAACUGUACGGCUGGAGUGCAGGAGAGGUAAGUGGAAUUCCUAGUGUAGCGGUGAAAUGCGGAGAUAUUAGGAGGAACACCAGUGGCGAAGGCGGCUUACUGGACUGUAACUGACGUUGAGGCUCGAAAGCGUGGGGAGCAAACAGGAUUAGAUACCCCUGUAGUC